AGGGAGUUUGAUCCUGGGGCUCAGAUUGAACGCUGGCGGCAGGCUUAACACAUGNAANUCGAACGGUAACAUAAAGAAGCUUGCUUCUUUGAUGACGAGUGGCGGACGGGUGAGUAAUGCUUGGGAAUCUAGCUUAUGGGGGGGGAUAACUACGGGAAACUGUAGCUAAUACCGCGUAGUAUCGAGAGAUGAAAGUGUGGGACCUUCGGGCCACAUGCCAUAGGAUGAGCCCAAGUGGGAUUAGGUAGUUGGUGAGGUAAAGGCUCACCAAGCCGACGAUCUCUAGCUGGUCUGAGAGGAUGACCAGCCACACUGGGACUGAGACACGGCCCAGACUCCUACGGGAGGCAGCAGUGGGGAAUAUUGCGCAAUGGGGGCAACCCUGACGCAGCCAUGCCGCGUGAAUGAAGAAGGCCUUCGGGUUGUAAAGUUCUUUCGGUAGCGAGGAAGGCAUUUAGUUUAAUAAACUAGGUGAUUGACGUUAACUACAGAAGAAGCACCGGCUAACUCCGUGCCAGCAGCCGCGGUAAUACGGAGGGUGCGAGCGUUAAUCGGAAUAACUGGGCGUAAAGGGCACGCAGGCGGUGACUUAAGUGAGGUGUGAAAGCCCCGGGCUUAACCUGGGAAUUGCAUUUCAUACUGGGUCGCUAGAGUACUUUAGGGAGGGGUAGAAUUCCACGUGUAGCGGUGAAAUGCGUUAGAGAUGUGGAGGAAUACCGAAGGCGAAGGCAGCCCCUUGGGAAUGUACUGGACGCUCAUGUGC
Molecule: ribosomal RNA, 763 nt
Filed under: uncultured Pseudomonadota bacterium
Lineage: Bacteria; Pseudomonadati; Pseudomonadota
Description: bacterial SSU rRNA
Rfam family: Bacterial small subunit ribosomal RNA
Source: RNAcentral